This 628-nucleotide ribosomal RNA is filed under the name Salmonella enterica. RNAcentral's name for it is "partial 23S ribosomal RNA". It matches the Rfam family "Bacterial large subunit ribosomal RNA", at positions 539 to 1165 of the family's 2925-position model. Lineage: Bacteria; Pseudomonadati; Pseudomonadota; Gammaproteobacteria; Enterobacterales; Enterobacteriaceae. The record is from RNAcentral.
UGAAAAAGAACCUGAAACCGUGUACGUACAAGCAGUGGGAGCACAGGUUUACCUGUGUGACUGCGUACCUUUUGUAUAAUGGGUCAGCGACUUAUAUUCUGUAGCAAGGUUAACCGUAUAGGGGAGCCGAAGGGAAACCGAGUCUUAACCGGGCGUUAAGUUGCAGGGUAUAGACCCGAAACCCGGUGAUCUAGCCAUGGGCAGGUUGAAGGUUGGGUAACACUAACUGGAGGACCGAACCGACUAAUGUUGAAAAAUUAGCGGAUGACCUGUGGCUGGGGGUGAAAGGCCAAUCAAACCGGGAGAUAGCUGGUUCUCCCCGAAAGCUAUUUAGGUAGCGCCUCGUGAAUUCAUCUCCGGGGGUAGAGCACUGUUUCGGCUAGGGGGCCAUCCCGGCUUACCAACCCGAUGCAAACUGCGAAUACCGGAGAAUGUUAUCACGGGAGACACACGGCGGGUGCUAACGUCCGUCGUGAAGAGGGAAACAACCCAGACCGCCAGCUAAGGUCCCAAAGUCAUGGUUAAGUGGGAAACGAUGUGGGAAGGCCCAGACAGCCAGGAUGUUGGCUUAGAAGCAGCCAUCAUUUAAAGAAAGCGUAAUAGCUCACUGGUCGAGUCGGCCUGCGCG